CUAAUCAAAGUCAGGAUUUCCUCAGGGACUGGUGGCAUGGGGAGCAGCUAGAGCAAUGCAGAUUCAUCCAUAAUCCCUUUCUGCUGUUCACCACCACCCAUGAUCCAUCUGUGUAGUUUCUGAAAAGUCAGCGAUUCCAGGUUUUAAAUAGUUUGUAAAUUUUCAGUUUCUACACACUAUCGUCCACUCGUGAUUUUUUAAUUAAAGCGAAUUAAUUCCUUUCUCUGUUCAGCUUUUAAUGCUGAGAUCCAUAUUUAGUUUUAUAAGCUUCUUUUUUUUUGGUCAUGAAUUUUUCUGUUUAUCACGGAAAUGUAAGAGUGGACUAUUAAUACAUUUAAGUUUAGUUCUGUAAUGUCAAGAAUUUUUCAAAAAAAAUAAAAACUGGACCUGAGCUUUUUCUUUGUGGCUAGAAACUGG
Molecule: long non-coding RNA, 417 nt
Filed under: Marmota monax (woodchuck)
Lineage: Eukaryota; Metazoa; Chordata; Mammalia; Rodentia; Sciuridae
Source: RNAcentral